Molecule: long non-coding RNA, 1199 nt
Filed under: Homo sapiens (human)
Lineage: Eukaryota; Metazoa; Chordata; Mammalia; Primates; Hominidae
Description: long intergenic non-protein coding RNA 2029
Source: RNAcentral
GGAGGAGCGGCCUGGCUUUGUCUGAGUCAGGCAGCCCAGCGUGUGGGAUGCCAGGCUGGAUGUGCUGGGCCUGACCAGCCGCCCGCUUUCCUCUUCUCUUGCCUCUGCCUGCCCCCUGGUGGACAGCUGGGGUAAAGCAUGGGAGUGCGCCUUUGGGGUCUCAGUGGGGCUGAAAUACGACUCCUCCCCUAGGACAGCCUGCCUUCCCCAGCCUUGUUCUCCGGCAAAGUCAAUUUCCUGGAGAAUCGAGGCUCUGCCUCAGAUGUUCGGAGCCUCCGCAGGAUGAACACCUCCAUUUCAAUUCCAGGGGCUUUGAUCAACCUGUGCCUCCCUUGAUCCCCAACUUGUGGGCACCUUCCCUUGAGCAGUGCCCCCACGAGGUACACCUUUCCCGGGAAACAAAAAUCAUUCCUUCUUUGGGUCCUGCAAGCUGUAAAGAACCAAUACAGCACUGUGCUACUGAACAUGUUGCCACUAUAGAAGCCCCUUGUGUUUUGAAGAGUACAUCUCUAUAGCCAUUCGUUUAUUCAUCAGAAACCAGCUAGAAGCCAGGCCCUGUGCUGGGCGCUGGAGACAUGGAAGAAACUGGGCUGAGGCUCCCGCCUUGAAGAGCUUGUGGCCCAGGGAAGGGACAGUUCAUCUGUCAUUGAUUGCCACGUGACAGUGUCUAUGAUGCUAAAAAGAUGCCAGUGCUGUGCUGCAGGAGCAAAGGCCGUGGAGGAAGAGGCUUUGGCUUUGUUGCGAGUCCUUGCCAGAGCCAGGCAAAGCCAGUCACCGCUUUGUUCAGAUGACUCAGUGUCUCCUUUUCCAGACUUCUUAGAGGACUUGGAAAGAAAAUGAAAUGACGUUGAACGAAAUCAAAGUAAAUUGAGUGAUCUGAAACGAUUUGAUGUCAGCAAGAAUUCCCCAUACAGCUCACAGCCCUACCCCGAGCACGCCUCCCUCUUGGCUCUCUGCAGGCCCAAACCUUGCAGAAGCCAUUCCAUGUUUCCUGAGCAGGAAAAGACAAACUCAGACCGACAACCUUGGACUUCAAAAGACUGCACACAAGGGGAGGAAGGACUGAGAGUACCAAGGCGUGAGAAUUCAGAAUGCUGCUAUCUCAUUUAUUUUUACCAUUUAGGAAACGUUUUGAUCUGCAUUCCUUUUCCCUUCCCUGAUUUCAAAAAAUAAAAAUAAAAAUGCUUCGGUUCUGAGGA